UGGGGAAUCUUCCGCAAUGGACGAAAGUCUGACGGAGCAACGCCGCGUGAGUGAAGAAGGCCUUCGGGUUGUAAAGCUCUGUUAUUCGGGAAGAACGAUUCGUUUGUGAACAAUGAACGGAAGUGACGGUACCGAAAGAGAAAGCCACGGCUAACUACGUGCCAGCAGCCGCGGUAAUACGUAGGUGGCAAGCGUUGUCCGGAAUUAUUGGGCGUAAAGAGCGCGUAGGCGGUAUGAUAAGUCUGUCUUAGAAGUGCGGGGCUUAACCCCGGGAGGGGACAGAGACUGUCAUACUAGAGUCUCGGAGAGGAAAGAGGAAUUCCUAGUGUAGCGGGGAAAUGCGUAGAGAUUAGGAAGAACACCGGUGGCGAAGGCGGCUUUCUGGACGGGCACUGACGCUGAGGCGCGAAAGCGUGGGGAGCUAGCAGG
Molecule: ribosomal RNA, 429 nt
Filed under: bacterium
Lineage: Bacteria
Description: partial 16S ribosomal RNA
Rfam family: Bacterial small subunit ribosomal RNA
Source: RNAcentral